GAUGAAGAACGCAGCGAACUGCGAUAAGUAAUGUGAAUUGCAGAAUUCAGUGAAUCAUCGAGUCUUUGAACGCACAUUGCGCCCCCUGGCAUUCCGGGGGGCAUGCCUGUCCGAGCGUCAUUGCUGCCCUUCAAGCCCGGCUUGUGUGUUGGGUCGUCGUCCCCCCCGGGGGACGGGCCCGAAAGGCAGCGGCGGCACCGCGUCCGGUCCUCGAGCGUAUGGGGCUUUGUCACCCGCUCGAUUAGGGCCGGCCGGGCGCCAGCCGGCGUCUCCAACCUUCUAUUUUACCAGGUUGACCUCGGAUCAGGUAGGGAUACCCGCUGAACUUAAGCAUAUCAAUAAGCGGAGG
This 349-nucleotide unclassified non-coding RNA is filed under the name soil metagenome. RNAcentral describes it as "partial contains 5.8S ribosomal RNA, internal transcribed spacer 2, and large subunit ribosomal RNA". The stretch from base 1 to 120 matches the Rfam family "5.8S ribosomal RNA", at positions 35 to 154 of the family's 154-position model. The record is from RNAcentral.